Molecule: long non-coding RNA, 3837 nt
Filed under: Arabidopsis thaliana (thale cress)
Lineage: Eukaryota; Viridiplantae; Streptophyta; Magnoliopsida; Brassicales; Brassicaceae
Description: ncRNA (AT1G33415)
Source: RNAcentral
UUCUUGUUGCAGCGACGAUGCUAUUGCUUCUUCUUCUUCAUCUUCUUCACGAUUCUUCUCUUCUUCUUCUUUAUCGUUUUCACAUGGCUGCUUCUAGUGCCAAAAACAUUGGAGAAAGAUACUAGAGCUCCCAAGGAAGAUUCUUCGAAUGUUCUUUUUUCAUCAAUUCAAUCUUGCCGUCGAGAGAAUUAUGGUCUUCGAGGGUUAGGGUUUUCAAUUCUUAUGAAGACGAGCCGAAAUCAAUCUGUUGAAUUCGAUGAUUUUCUCGGAUGAAUGAAGGUUGUGAUGCUUCCGUCGAUCUUUGGUCGAUUUAUCUUGAGAUUCUUAGCAUAGCAUUCGUUCUAAACAAUGGAUCAUGAUACUCGCAGCAAUAAGCUUCAGAAAUUCUUUGUCGCCAUGGAAACGGCCUUUUAGGGAACAGAUGAAAUUAUCAAUUGCGCCUUGGAGGGUUUGAAGAAAUAAGUCAGGAAAGAACUAUGAUCAGGGCUUUCCCACCUUCUACCGAGGAUGUCGAGACGCCCAGCAGAUUGUCGACAAGAUACAACUGCUUAGAAUCUGCUUGAUGUCUACUUGUUGUUUCAUGAUGAUGGUUAUUUGUUGCUUGCACAGAAGGACCUACUGAAAAUCAACUCUUUUGAAGCUGUUGCACACUCAUUAGAAACCUGAUGCAUCAAAGUCAAAUGACCAUAUUCUGGCAGGAGCAGAUGAGUUCUUGCCUCUCCUCAUGUAUGCUACAAUCAUGACAAAUCCUGCGCACCUUGCAUUCUUUUCUCAAGUUCAUCCAUCCAAUUAUACUGAAGGAAGGCAAAAAUUGUCCCUGAGGAUAAACCUUGUCUCGGACAAGUCAUUUAAGAAGUUGUGCAGCACCGAGUAAGAAGGUAGAAUCCGGUUCAUCUACCAAUCGGUAUCUUUGAGCUUCUUGAUUGCUCAUAACAGAUCUGGAGUACCCCCAUAAUAUGGAGGCAGACGCCAGUGACCUGGUUCUGAAUGUGGAAGAUGCUUAGAGAUUGCUGACUAUACAAGGAAAUGCUGGUGAGGCUUAUGAAUGAGGAGCAAGUAAAAAAGAAGAAGGAAAGGUAAUGCAAAGCAUCCCAAAACAAAACAUUCGACUUUCAUAAAUGUCUUAAUCCCAUGUUUACAUAACACUUUUAAGCUUAGGAUUGAAAUCUUGAAGUGGUCAUGUGUUAGUUACAAUCACGGGUAGAAACCUUAAGCCAUUUGCAGUUUUGUGCCUAGAUAAGAACCUAUAUACAGAAAGAUCAUAAAUACAGUCAGCCUACUCUAAGUGUUACGGAUAAAUUAGAUCCACUGCCCAUAGCAGCUGACUCACCUCUACAAACAAAGCCAGCUUUGGGCACUUGACUAGAUCCACGCUCUUUUUUAGAUUGCUUUGGUUUCUUGCUGUACAACUCAAUGCAUCUGAAACAAAGGAACUUGGAAGGUAGGGCAUCAGCGUUAUUGAUCCCAAUACAUCUAGUGUGGUGCCACACACCACAUCCAUCACAGGCCAACAUCCUCUCGCCAUCAUCAUCCUUUGUGCCACACUUGCAAUCAACUUUCCAAUUAUCCACCCCUCUCUCCAUGCGGUAUCUAAGGAGCCCGUGUUUUGAGCAUCUCCCUUUAAUCCGUAUGACCCCGUUUGUGCCAACUAGAAAUUUCAGGGUAAUAGAGUCAUCUAUAGAACCGUAACCUAGGAGCUCCUCAACUUCAAACCUCUUGAACAUUGCAUACACUUCCUGAAAAGCCUUAGCAGCUUCGAUUUUAAGGUCGGAAACAGUAGCGUUCAAUGGCAAAACCAACCGUUCAGGUGGAGGGGCUGGGGAUUCUUUGAGUUCAUCCGAAAGCUCAACACAGCACCAGAGGUUGAUUGCAACGGGGUUCACUGUGCUAGACAGAUUCAAGCCUGGAGUUCAUAUGCAAAGGUUAAGAUUAUUAUGCACACUGGAAACCAACCAAUCAGAAUAAGAAGAAACAUCUCUUGUAAGUUUACCUGUACUCAAAGUCGUUUGAACCAGGAUUGCAACGUGAGCUGACUACUCGAGAUCCAUCAUCCACCAAAACCCCUCCAAAAUGCUUGAGACAGUAAUCAAUCAGUUGUGGAGAGGCUGAUUUGCAAAUAGACCUCUUGAGAGCCCACCUUGUAACCCAGUUGGCUUGUGGGCGUCCUGAAGCUUUCAGUAUCUUAACCAUGGUUUGCUGUACACGUUCCACAUCACUUUUAGACCAAGCACACAGUACAGACGACUUAGAUGCAGGUUUGGAACUGUUCUCACGAAUCAUCUGUAGGAGAAAGGAGAAGAGGUCUUUGACAGUCACAAGCUCUGAACACGAGAGUGAUUGGUAGAAGCUAAUAAUGGAGUGGAGCUGAGUUCUUGGUUUCCUCCCCUGGAACAAAAACUCAGAGAGAGGAAUCGCAGAUAAAGUAUCCACUGCACUCUGGUAAGCUUCUUUGGUGAGUGCAUAGCUCCCCGAUUUGAAUUCAUAACCCCACUCACUGUACCACGAACACCCUCUAGUAAUCCCAUGAAGCAACCGGUAGUCCAUCCCAUACUUCCUUGACACAUCCAUCACACUAGCUUUUCGAACAGCAAGGGAGGAACAAAGCCUAUCCCAGAAGUCCAUAAUGGCACGACCAGUCAAAAAACCAGAGCCACCUUCUCUUCCAUUAAGACACAGUAGAUGAGCGUAGCCAUUAGAGUGGAUAACGCCGUGAAGGAGGUGAGUGUUAUCCUCUAGCUGAGAGUAAACCCAGUUUUCAAUGUCUAAAGCCAUGCUGCACCAUUUGCAAUUGCUACCUUCAGACAAAUUCUGAGUAUUACCACACCUCGUGCAAGCCUUAGUGUCUCCUCCUGACCUUAUGAUGAAGCGGUACCUCUUUCUACACACUGGAUGACUACUCCAACCUUCAAAACCAACAGAUUUUCUCAGUCUAUGCAUGCACCAUAUCAAGAGUGUUCACAGUAAACAGAUCUAGAGGAUCUCGUCACAUCCUCCUCCACAACGUCGAGAGAGACGAGUUUAGAAGAGAGAUCUGAACCGUCCGUCGAAUCUCCAGGUCUAAGCAUGAUCUGCCACGUCAUCAAACUCGAGAAGAGCGUCGAAGGAGGGAAAGUGACACGCGCGUGGGUCGCGAGGAAGGUUCUCACACCGUCUCGGAACGGCGGCAAAGUCGUCGACUCGCCGUUGAUCUCCGCCGUCGGGAAAGUAGAGAAAUCGUAAAGAUCAGCUGAGAUUCUGUUGCUACGCCUCGCUCGCUUCGUCGCACGACCACCGUUCAUCACCGCCAUGACUGUGUAACAAGGGUUUUUUCCGACACUUAAAUUAAAACUAGAAUAAGAGUUAAAGAUACAGAGAGAGAGAUUUGAGAUAGAUACAGAGGAGGGGAGAGAGAGAAGGUGAAGAGGUUUAAGGAGAGAGUAAUUUUGGCGGAGAGAUUUUCCCUCUCAAAAGUUUUGGAGGAUUUUAGGGUUUUGGGGGGUAUUGACUAAAAGCUUGACUUGACCGCUUCUGAUGGGGGAAGGAAGGAAGGUAGAUGCUUUUUAUUUUCCUUUUCUCUACUCACCAAUUUCGGGAGAGAGUGGGUCCCCCUGAUUCCAAAUUCGAGGCGGUUUCGAUUUCUUUUUCUCCACGCCUUUUUUUGUUUUUAUUUGUUUCCCUAUUUUGUUCGAUUUCUUUUAUUUCAAUAAGUUAGCUAAUUAAGUCCUUUUUUGUCCUCAAUAAAACCAAAGCUAAUUAAGUCCUAUCCAUUAUCCAGUUCCGAUUGUGACACCUUCUGUUUUGUAGAAAUUCUACCCCAAUAAGAUCUCUCAGAUUCAAUGAUUUUUGUUUUAAUUAAGU